GCUAUAAAAGGCAGAUGCCAGCUGCUAGCUGGGGCUACAAAGAGAAAGUAAUUUGGAAGGAUGAGGUUGUAUGUUUGUUUAAAUUUUUUAAUUUGUUUUUUAGAAGAUGGUGUUCUGGGUUGAGGAGCUAUGAGAUGGAGUGUGCAGGAACUUGCAUGCUAAUUAAACCGGUACUACUACAGCUGAUCUGAGCCAGAUGAAAUCAAAGCCUCAAGUCUACACACCUUAAAUUUGAAUGGCUUCAAUUCUCAUGGACUGGAUCAAUUUGAAGGCUUCAGAAAGCAGCUGCAGCUUCUUGGAAGCUAUAAAAGGUGCUUCCUGGGAGAGAUAACAAAGAGAAGAACCUAUAAAAGUGAGAUUGGCUACAACGACUAUGAAAUAUUGUAUCUGGACACACAAUCUAUAUGAUGCCAGAAUUUACACAGAGACAACCUAAGUGAAAUAACAUCAGACAAAGAAGAGUUGAAUGGAAGGUUGAGAAAGGCUGGUAACCACACCCGCUUCAACAAAAAUAGCUCCUGGUAACAACGUGCAUCAGAUGAAUUUUUUGUUAAUCUCCUGAAAGAGGAAGGAGAACAAAGGGAACGUGAUGGAGCCACAGAGAGAAGUGACAUGAGGACUAGGAUUUCACCACUAGAGAGUGUAUUUCUACUGUGCAACUUGACCUUUUCUGCUCCCAGAGAAACUGAUUCAAGGUGGGGAUCUUAGAAAUAUACAGCAGUUUGAACAGCAUUGCCUGAAGUCUUUUCUAUGGGUCUUUUACUAAAAAGCACAUCAAGGAAGUACUGUGUCCUUGGAAGAUUAAUGCAUUGCUUCCUCUGUGCAUUGCUUAGCAUGAGUUUCAGGAAGCAUUUUGCAAAGUAAGAUGUAUGUAAAUUGGAAUAAAAGCUUAUACUGAGCUUAUCCUUGAGACAGAUGGUUACACAUUCAAAUUUAAAUUUUAAGCAUUUCAAUAAAAAAGCCAGCUGAAAAGAAUGUAUACAUAUUUUUAAAAUUUUGUCUUCAACUGUGUUUUUUCUAUCACUGCACAUUUUCUUUGGGCCAAUGCUGUAAUUUUUAACUUAAAAAUUGUUCUUUGAAAAUUCUGCCUUGGCUUCUGCUGGCCUGUCUCCAAAUCUGCACUACCAAAGCCACUGCCUUGCCAUGGUGUACCUAUAAGAAAAAUACACAUCUAAUUGUUAGAGAAAUAGGGAAAAUGAAUCUCUCACAUGCAUGAGAUGCCACUUUUGUUUAAGGAAAUGAGGUUUGUAUAGGGAUUCUUCACUUGACCUCUGCUGUCUGCCCAUGGUGGCAUCCACACACGGCUUUAUGCCUCCUUCAUUGGUCAUACACUCAGGCAUGUCAUAUCCCACUCAUUAUGCUUGAGACUUCUCUGUCUUGCUGCAGCCCACUUCUUCAGCAGUCCAGUCUUCACCACAUUUUUGUGCACAUGGUCAUGCCUCUAGCCUGGAAAUUUACGUCUUAGUCCUGAAGCUAGUGAAACAAAUUAAUUUCUAAUGUAACUUGAUUUUAAUUGUGUUUACUAUAGGGGUGAGUCUGACCAAGUCUUUCUCUGUUGGAAUUUUAAAACUUUGCAGUGAAUUGAGGUAUAUGUAACCCAGAACAUACAUUGAUAUUUUAAAAGUUUUGCUCCCUUUUUCUUUCAUAAUGAAGCUGGCACAAACUUACAUGCAGUAAAUGCAGUAAUUAUCUCAGUUAUAGCAUGUUCCAAGGGACAUGCUGUUCCAUGACUGACCAUUAAAAUACCAAACCAAUUAUGUGCAAAUUCAUGUAUCAUUUAGGCACCACAAAGCAUUUAAGAAAGAAUGGAUAUUAGAAGUGAAUUUCAUAUAGUUUCCAUGGUGAUUGUACUAAAAGCAAUAACAAUAGGCUUAAAUAUGUUUUUGUUUAGAAUAUCUUUAAAAGCACUUGUUUGGUUUAGACUUGCUAUGUUUACUCUAUAAUUUGUCCCAAACUACUGAUUAUUAUAAAAUGUAGCUAAAUUGGCAUGACUGUAUUGUUCAAACAUUUCAUCAGAGCACCAAAAUAGUUCAAAGUUUGUUGUUUAAUAUUUUUAUCACAGCUGACAUUCACAUUAGAAUGGGAAAAUGUUCCAAAAAGGCAGUGACAUUGUGAUUUAAAAUUGGUGCCACAGCGUUGUAUUAGGCCACCUUCCAGAGUACAUUUUGCUCUUGCUGUUUUAUUAUAGAAUUCAGAAGCUUAUCAAGAGAGAGCUAAACUUUGUACAAACAAAAGCAACACAUUGGCAGCCUCUCAGGAAGCCCAGAGCAAAUUAGAGUUAUGAGUAUUCACAUAGUGAUAAUGGGUCAGGGGAAUAAUCGAUGGAUGGGACUGUACCAUUAGUUCUUACUUCAGCAUCUCUUUAAAAGUACUACAGAAAUUGCUUCAUCUUAGAGUCUGCCUGCAACAAGCAGCAUCAAGGAACAGGGCAGUAAUCUGCUGAGUAUAAAGUACAAGUAUUUGAGGGGUUGUGGAACAUGAGAUUUGCAGGGUGAGCAUCACAGCCAUCAGACUUAAUGCAGCUAUUUCAGUCACUUCCAGCUAAACGAAGGAUGAAGGCUCCUUAAAAAGCUUUUCUGCUUCUCAGAAAUAGGUACCUGAGAUAGUAUUCAAUACGCCAGUUCUGCACAGCAAACAUUUUUGUGCUUAAAGCUAUACUUUCAUUGAAGUGUAAUGAUAUUUCGGAUUAGUGAUUACAGUUAUGGAGGUGUUUGUUUUCUGAAUUAGGACCCACACACUGGUGAAACUUCACAGUAAUGUUGCCCUUCUCUCUCUUUCUGGUGAACAAAGCUAACACAGUAUCUCUGACAGUAUAUGCUGUCUCCACUGAGUUGUGGAACAGGACUGUGAGUGAGUUGGAUAAGAGAGGUAAGUCUCUAAAGCUGCAAACUGUCCUCUAUUUCUGAGUUGCUCUCUGGCAGGCCUAAUCACUUCCAUGGAAGUGGAGAGUGUGAUCUCAGGAAGCACCACUUUAUGAUCUCCCCCUUCAGUGAAUGGCUAGAAGCAAGCUCAUCCAGAAGACGUCCAGGAGCACCUAAGGCUUGGUUUCUGCUCUGCAUGGCCCUGCAGGGGAGCCCAUCCCACUCCUCUGGCCAGAAGAGGUGCUGCAGAGAUCAGCCUUACUGAGCCAGAAAUAACUUUUAUGACCACAACCCCACCCAACCAUCCAAACCAUGCCCAGAACUAAAUCUCUAGGCUUAGCUGAAUAUGGGAACAAGGUGCCUCUGAGAAGCGGUUGAGGGUGGGCUUUGAACAACACAGUCUUGGCCUCUCAAUCAAGGAAUGAGGUAGAUUAAGGCCUUCUCAAGUUUUGGCUGUCAGUAACUACUGUAAGUUUUCAGCAUGCAUGUAAAACUCUUAUAUAUUUUUUAAAAAGCCAGACUAAAUUAUGGUGUUCUUCUGUGAAUUAUAAAUGUUGCAGCCACAGUCAGGUUCCAAGGCAUGGAUCGAGCUGGAUGACAUCUGGACUCUGAGGUAACCUUAGAUGAAUAUGCUGCUUCUGUGCUAGACCCAGUCUUCUUGGAAGCUGCUCUUCCAUAAAUGUUUUAAUAAAGUGCAGUAAGUGCAGAUACCUGCCAGCUGGGAUAUGGAUGCUUUUGUUCAUGUGCAACUCCUUACUUUGAGUGGUUGUGACAACGUUAGGAAGACAAUGGUACUUGAACUGAGAAAUAUCCGUGUAUGUUUCUCUGUGACUCCUACUUUGGUGCUUGACUUUUGGCUGUCUUUCCUUGAGGCUGCACAAAUAGCUACACUUUCCGACAGAGCUGUGUACAGUCAUGUGCAAUUGCACAAGGACGGUGCUUCAGGAACAAGUGUGCCUGUGUUCUGAGACAUCACAAGGGGCAAACAGCAGAAAUACUGGUUUAGUCCCAGCCUCCUUGCCAGAAGGAAGUGUUUGUUUUAGCUCGUAGGUAGGAGUUCAAUUCUCCUGUUCCAAGGCUGUCUCUUGUUUAAAGUACAUCUGCUCAGGGUUUUCCUAGGGGGGAAUUUGGCUUUGCUUUUACAUGGGAUACUGGAUUUUGGCUGAUGGGCUUCUACUGACUAUGAUGGGCUUUUGUGUAGAGAAAUAUAUUAUAGCUCAUGUGGGAGGCUUGCAACCUACCCGAGAGAGUGAGCACCCAUUACUGGGAGAAGUUAUCCCUGUACAAUUCAAACAGCUAGAUCAGAUGAUUUUUGCCAAAAUUUCCAUUCUUGAUUUUUAUUUUUAUUUUUGAGCUUGGAAGAAGGAAGUGAUGAUCACUCAGUGAUUUCAGGCUCUUUUUAGUUUUCACUCAGCUCCCUGGCAUUGUCCACAGGUUCCACAUGAAACACUGAAAUUUUGGCUCAGGUUUUCCAGACAGUAUGCUCUUCCUUUAGACAAACUCUACCACUCUUUUCACAUCUAGGUUUGUCCCAUGCCACCCUUGCCACACAGAUGGCAGGUAUCAUUUGGCUCAUUUCCCCUGGUUAGUGCUCACACAACUUUUGGCUCAUACAGGGACAAGAAUUAGUAAGCUUAGCAAAAUUCCUAGAGGGAAUUGUUGUGUAGAAAAAAGGCUGUUCUUUGGUUCUUCUAGAAGCACCUGAUGUUUUCCUCUCUCAGCCCAUGGAUCAGGACAAAUGGCCUCACUGUAGGACAGAUUUGACUCAGAUCAACUCUUAUCUACGACUCUAGCUGCUCUACGUGUUGUGAGAAAAGUCUUUUUCUGUAGUAAAUGCUGACGUAUUUUAAUAAUUAAUAGUGAUUUGUAAUGCAUUUUAAAGUGCAAAGCAACUGCACUAAUUAAAAUAAAAAGAAAAAAGAGGCUUUUAGAUUUUUACACAGAGCUGUAUGUGUCCUGAAGCUCUUGAAUUAGAUAUUCUUAAAAAAUGACUUGCUGUCCAAUUGUAAGCAUCAGAACACAUUAUAAUGAUAUACCCUUGUUUUCUUACUGCCUCCGUAACUACAUGGUUAAUAGGGCCUUCUGCUUUGUUUUGCUCUGACAGCUCCAAGUGAAGCAAACACAGAGGCCUCCAAGCUUUAUUUUCUUUUAAUUUUAUGCAGAUUUUUAUUACUGGAUAACAUCAGUGUUGUUCAUUGUUUGUGAAUGCUGAAAGUGAACAGCAAGCAAAUGAUAGUAAUAAACCAAAAGCUAAAAGUGCAUUUUUGUUGUUUUCAACAUCUUCUAAAAAUAUUUUUAUUUCUACACUGAAAAAUAUCACCACUCCCCAUUUUUGUUUUGCUUAUUCUUGUGCUGGAGGGAGAGGACUCUAGGCUCUAUAUUAGAUUUGAGAAAUUCCUCACUUUGCCAAGAAGUCCCUGCUAUGAUUCUCAAAUACUACAGGGAGAACCACUGAUCUGAUAUGGUGCCAUUGAUGUCAGGGAGCCUGGUAAUGCACCCACCACCAAGCAAAUGUGCUUUGGGUAGGGGAGAUACUUGGUCUACCUUGCCAUAUGCUAUGAAAAUCCUGCCAUCACGUACAUCCAGCAGUUGUUGAAUGCCAGCAUGACCCACUGGAAGUCCAGAUUCUCUUGCAAAGGUCUUGCAAGAUAAAUAAGCAAAUGUGCUUGUACAGAGAUGGGGAAAAUGGUCUCUUGCAGCCCAAGGCUACCUGAAGUUGUAUUACCUUGAUUUUCAUUUCAGACACUAGUAUAGAAGAGGCAAUAAUGUGGUAUGCAGAAAAUAAGUUUACCUUUCAUAAUGUAGGCUGGUUCAAUAAGACCAUAUCAGUAGAAAACUUUACAUAUUUUUUCUCACUUAAGCCAUUUUCAGUCCUCUUGAGGACUGUUACUACUUUUUUUUUCAAUAGAGGCCACUGAUUGCUUUUGAAAUGCUGCUGCAGAUUUUCAAAACAAUGAGGUUCAUUCUCAUUUAUGAAAAGACUUCUUUCUACAGCUAGACUAGUGUAGAAGAAACUUUCAGAAAGCAAUACCUGAAGCUCAAUGCCUUUAAUGGGACUGUAAUUUUAAAGAUGAGUAUAUGUUACUGUCAGCAACUUUUAUAGCCAAACCAUCAGAAAAAAUGUUGCAUGUAAACACACUAAAGCCUUUAAGGAGAAAGAAAUAAAUGGAAACUAUGAGGGAUACAGGCUUUUUGAUGGUUUAUCUUAAAGAAAAUUCCCCUUUGUGACAACUGUAUCCCUAGCGAUAGUAUCUACCAGGUAGACAACUUCUGCCUAUUAAUCAGACAUGUAUGUGCUAGAAAUAUCAACUCCUCUGAUUACAAAGCACAGAUCAAUGAAGCUGAGAUGAGGGAUAGUUUAAUUUCUAUUAGAGUCUCAGCGUGAUGUAACAUGAGUUUUCUUAUACUGGUUAGCACAUCUGAGUUUGAAAUAUCAGUGUUUUUUUGUGAGGGGAGGAUUUAUUGUUUUCAUAAUUGUACCAGGUAUUUAGUCUUCCUAUGUCUCCAGGCAAAUUUCAGAGAAAACAAUUGUGAAAUAGAAGAGAGGUGGCUGCCUAAUGCUGCAGGCAGUUGUGAUUAGUUCCAUACUUAUUUUUCAAGUGAUGUAUCCUGGUAUUAAUCUUGCUAAACACCCUGGAGUACAGUAGAUGGGGGGGAGGAAAGGCUCAUAAAACCAUUCACACAUUGAAAGUGACAUUGUCGAAAUUUCCAUUCACUAAACUCCCUAAAAAUAACGAAAUUUUAUUAGAAAAUUAUCUUCAUUAUUCCACAGACCAUCAGAUGAUAUAAAGUACCAUCUUCCUAUAUGGUAGCUGCUUAUAUAACCUGAGAAUAUGUCCCCUAUAUUGUAAACCAAACAACCAGAUUUCUUUAGCAGUUCAAGCAACAUGCUGGUUAGAGGCAGAACCUAAAGCUGUGGUCACACCACCAACAGUCCUCUCUAAAUUCAAGCUCUGUGUGCAUGCUCAAUUAUCAGAAAGCCUGGAAUCACUUAGCAUCUCUUAUCUGGGUUCUUUCCUUUGUUUUAAAGCAUUGAUGCCACCAACUAAUUAUUUCUGAAUAGGGAUCCCCCAAGAGGAGGCUGACAUCUGUGUCAUAUGCUGACAGCUCUAUUAGGGUUGUAACAUUAUAUGCAUCAGAGUCUGAUGGGAUUUCAUGUGCUUCAAAAGCCAGACAACCUGCAACAGGAUACUCUUGGGCAGUUAAAUCACAUUAAAUAUUUAAGCAUAGAAUUUGACAUUGUUCAUUAGGCCUGUUAAAGAAUCUCACUUCUCACUGCCAGAACUAACCACACACCUUACAAAUUGCAUAAUUUCAAAAAUGACUAACUCUUUCUGCUUCUUAUGCCCUCCAUGAAUAAGUUUCCAUGGUAGUUUCCAGUGUUUCCACAAUACUGCCUGUAGUUUCCAUGAAAGCCUUAGUCCCAUUUCCUCUGAAAACAAUGGCACUUAAAUUAGUUUCAUACUGUAUUGGAGAAGGGUAGCAUUAAUUUGUAGUAGAGAAAAUAGUGAAUGAAGCUGAAUGAAGGAAAUCAAAAGUUUUCUUAAUUUGUCACUAAAAUUUGAGUUCAUCAACCAAAAUGUUUUAUAACAAGACAUUUUUGUUCCUGUACCAAGCCACUGAGAUCCUCAGAAUGAAGGCAAGCAGUGCAUCAUGUAAUGAGCUCCAGCACAACGACGUGAAAUGACCUCUUUUUGGCCACACACAGAUUGCAAAGGCAAAACUGAGGAUUACAGCCAGGUUUUGUGACUGUCAAUACUGUCUUUAGAUUGGUAAGGAUGUCUUCUAUCUUUGGAAAAUCUCACAGUGUUUUUUUCUGAAAGUGUUCAUCAUUGUUACAGUUCUUCUCCAUCUGAAGAAAAAAGGUUAUAUUAAGCCCAUAGUCUCUAUAUAAAGUAAUGAUACCAUAAUGAAAUUACAUUUUAUUUUCCUAUGAAGAUUGGCACUACUGUAAUAAUAAUGAAAGCCGUCUGCAUUGUGGAUUUCCUUUGCCCUUAUAAUAAUUAUGGUUUAUAUCUAGAUAAAUGCCCUUGAUGCUUCUUGGAUCACUAUAUUUUUUUCUGUGUCUUUCAUCAGAAAGAAAGCUUUGUUCUUGUUUUGUCUGAGUUCAUAAUCCUGUAACAAUCUUUAUUUAUUUAAGAAUAAGGAUUACUUUAUGUUCAUUCCAUUGCCUGUUUUUGAAGGUUGUUCUCUUCUUUUUGCAAGGCUUUGGAAAGAAACUUUCAUACUGUUUAUCUAUUCAUUGUUCUUAAAUUUUGUAUGUCCUCUAACCUCAUGUCCUGAGAAAUAUGUAAUUAUUCAACUUUUGUUAUUCUCUUUUUUCACUGGCCAAUUUCACUGUGUGAUUUCAAUUGGAGGAUGUUUUAAGUAAGAAAACAGAACAAAAUAAUGCAACAUUAUCAUUUUUGCUGUAUCUACAGUAGUUGACUGGUGUGACAUUGAGAUAAUUUUGGAAUAACACUGAUGCUAAAGUUACAGAAUGCUGCUUUCAGGGGAUGUUGACAUAGAACAUCUGUGUACAAAGUGACAUUGUAUCAGAAAGCAUGGUAUUGUACAAUUAUGUCAAAAAGAAAAAAACUGUAUUUAGAAAAAUGGAAAUAAUAAUAAUUAUUUUUUUUAAGGGGAGAGGAAACAGAGUUUUAUAAUUUAUUUCAAAGAGAUGGACAGAAUUGCUCAUAUAUUAAUCACUGUCAUAGUUCUAACACUUAAAGUUAACAUCACCUGGCAAUGUAACUUCUCAGAGCAAGUGUAGGAGGAGAGAGGAGUGACAGGAGAGUAUGAAAGUGAUGACAAAGGACAUAAUCUCUGGCCAAUAAAAAUAACCUAUGGCUUCAGCUACGUGGUCUGACUGUAGGAACUACUUUGAGAUGAGCUUUGAGGUGACUGAUGGUAUAUCUGGCAGGAAGCAGUGUGUAUCUAGCAUUUAGCAUACUCUUCAAAGGACAUAUAUCUGCUGUAUAUAUGUCCUGCUAACUUCUCUUGCCCAUGACUUGAAAGGGCUGUAACAUCCAUCCUAGGAGAACUUUGACACUGGAUGUAUGUGUCUGAAUAGCCUUAAAGCAAAAAGAGCUCAGGCUGCCCACGAGAGACAAGGAUGGUGGCUACCAACCCCUGCAAGCAACCCAAAGUUCAGUCUGCUCUUAGGAUUGCUCUAGCAGGUGCCAUGGGAGAAGGUCUGUGAGUCAUCAUGCUAAGCUGUGCCCCCUGUUCUGUAUAGAGACCUCUGUGAAAGCAGCAGUCCUGUACAAAUCAGUUUGGAAGUUUGCUUCUAUGCUUCCAGUUGAAAGCAGCUCAAGCCUUUACCUCAACAGUUGGUGUAGUUCUGUGUUUUUCAGCUAAUACAGACUUGAGUGAUUUUUCCUCCCAAAGGGAAGAUGUCUGUGGUUUCUCACAUAUGCAAGGCUGCAGGCGAUAAACAGAAAGAAAUAUAGCACUGAUGUA
Anas platyrhynchos (mallard) is the source of this 9302-nucleotide long non-coding RNA. RefSeq lists it as uncharacterized. Lineage: Eukaryota; Metazoa; Chordata; Aves; Anseriformes; Anatidae. The record is from RefSeq and is a predicted model, not a curated record.